AACUGUGGGUACCUUAGGAGAUCAACCCAAGAGGAGGGGAUCCUGAUGUCACUGAAGGCCCACAGAUGAAACAUACCCAGACUGGCAGACCAUUCACCCAUAAAACACUAGUUUUUUGGGGUUUUGUUUUCUAUUUUGGUUUUUGUUUUGCUUUGUUUGCUAAAGUAUAUGCUAAAACAAAAGAAUCAUUCCAUGUUUGUUCUGAAACAUUAGCAUUUCCAGAAAUUUUGAGAGAUCCACCUGCAGAUGCCACAUGUCUGGAAAACAGAUCACCAAGGAACUGUCUCCAUGGAUACUCCUUGGUGCAAGAUUGAUGGAUUGACAUGUGUAUUUGAAAUCGACAUAGUGGGGCUGGGGAUUUAGCUCAGUGGUAGAGCGCUUGCCUAGGAAGUGCAAGGCCCUGGGUUCGGUCCCCAGCUCCGAAAAAAAGAACCAGAAAAAAAAAAAAAAA
This 451-nucleotide long non-coding RNA is filed under the name Rattus norvegicus (Norway rat). Its description in RNAcentral is "long non-coding RNA NONRATT005332". The stretch from base 354 to 422 matches the Rfam family "tRNA". Lineage: Eukaryota; Metazoa; Chordata; Mammalia; Rodentia; Muridae. The record is from RNAcentral.